RNAcentral lists this ribosomal RNA (446 nucleotides) under uncultured bacterium. RNAcentral's name for it is "SSU rRNA". It matches the Rfam family "Bacterial small subunit ribosomal RNA", at positions 26 to 518 of the family's 1533-position model. The record is from RNAcentral.
AGAACGAACGCUGGCGGCAGGCUUAACACAUGCAAGUCGAACGCUCGUAGCAAUACGGGAGUGGCAGACGGGUGAGUAACGCGUGGGAACAUACCCUCCGGUUCGGAAUAGCUCAGGGAAACUUGGAUUAAUACCGGAUACGGCUGAGAGGCGAAAGAUUUAUCGCCGGAGGAUUGGCCCGCGUUCGAUUAGCUUGUUGGUGAGGUAACGGCUCACCAAGGCGAUGAUCGAUAGCUGGUCUGAGAGGAUGAUCAGCCACAUUGGGACUGAGACACGGCCCAAACUCCUACGGGAGGCAGCAGUGGGGAAUAUUGGACAAUGGGCGCAAGCCUGAUCCAGCCAUGCCGCGUGAGUGAUGACGGCCUUAGGGUGUAAAGCUCUUUCGCUCGGACGAUAAUGACGGUACCGAGAUAAGAACGCCCGGCUAACUUCGUGCCAGCAGCCGC